Molecule: non-coding RNA, 93 nt
Organism: Bacillus sp. B-jedd
Lineage: Bacteria; Bacillati; Bacillota; Bacilli; Caryophanales; Bacillaceae
Source: Rfam
UACAGAAAAAGGCAAACCUCCUGAAAGGGAGGGACGCAAAGCUUCAGGUCUAAAGCAGGGAGUAAUCGAUGCGAUGACGGCUGGGCUGCCUGG